Motacilla alba alba is the source of this 1010-nucleotide long non-coding RNA. RefSeq lists it as uncharacterized. The transcript has 2 exons. NCBI's taxonomy places the organism in Eukaryota, Metazoa, Chordata, Aves, Passeriformes, Motacillidae. The record is from RefSeq and is a predicted model, not a curated record.
CGGUGUCCAACGGGUGAGAAAGAGCAGCGGCCUUAGUGCGGUCCCUGCGAGCUCGGUGAGCUUGAGACCUGUCUGGACAGCUGGCACUGUAGUGCAUGCAGGUCUGCUUGCUGGCAAAUGGUGGAGCUGGUCUGGUUCCUUUUUCAGGGCGAUGUUGGUGAAGAUCGCUGCAGGAGCCCCUGCCUGUCUGCACAGAAUCACAGAACCAUGGAACAGCCCAGGCUGGAAGAGAGCUGGCAAGAUCAUUGGUCCUACUUUCUGGGAGGGAGACCAGAUGAGAUUAUCGAGCUCCCUGGCAGCUUGAAAACCUCCCGUGACAGGGACCGUACCACCACAUCCCUGUGUUUCAGUCAUUGGUUGUUGUCACCAGAAGAAAAUUUAUGUUGCGCCUUGUUUUCUCCAUGCGGUCUUUUGUGAGGAGAGCCUCCACCCUCUGUAGCACUCUGGGCAGGUUGUCCUCACCACCCCGAUUAGUGGUAUCAGCAGCCUGGGUGAAGGUGUUUUCAAGUCCAUCACCCAAAUCCUUGUGAAGAUGGACAGUGUGGAGCCCAGUGGCAAUCUCAGGGAGACCCCACUUGCAACAGGCUGCCACCCUGAGUUAAAAACACUGAUCUCUGAGUGCAGCCUCUUGGCCGAUUUUCUAUGCAUCUUGCAAACCGCCUUGCAAAACACAGUCUGUGUCUCACCAUCUAAUCCAAGAGAAGGCUUCCUCAUCGGUGGAAGCAGAGUGAGAAGACUUACAGUGUAGUAAGUGGCUUACAGGACUUCCUAGCUGCAUUCAUUUCUGUGGCUGCCAAACCCAGAGGGAUGUGGAGUGGAACCCUGCUGGAAAUAGAUCAAUGGAGAAUGGGUAUAGGAUUGCUUUCUCAGUUGAGCAACCAAAUAAGAGGGAGGGAAAUAAUUCAGAAGACAGCCAAAAUAAAUAUUAUUUUCUUCUUCCUUUGCUGUGUGUGGGGGGAAAAAGUAAACCCCCCCAACUUGUAUCAGAUUAAAUGUUGUUCGGUCUGAAA